Molecule: ribosomal RNA, 394 nt
Filed under: uncultured microorganism
Description: bacterial SSU rRNA
Rfam family: Bacterial small subunit ribosomal RNA
Source: RNAcentral
GAGUUUGAUCUUGGCUCAGAUUGAACGCUGGCGGCAUGCCUUACACAUGCAAGUCGAACGGUAACAGGUCUUCGGAUGCUGACGAGUGGCGAACGGGUGAGUAAUACAUCGGAACGUGCCCGAUCGUGGGGGAUAACGGAGCGAAAGCUUUGCUAAUACCGCAUACGAUCUACGGAUGAAAGCAGGGACCGCAAGGCCUUGCGCGGACGGAGCGGCCGAUGGCAGAUUAGGUAGUUGGUGGGAUAAAAGCUUACCAAGCCGACGAUCUGUAGCUGGUCUGAGAGGACGACCAGCCACACUGGGACUGAGACACGGCCCAGACUCCUACGGGAGGCAGCAGUGGGAAUUUGGACAAUGGGCGAAAGCCUGAUCCAGCCAUGCCGCGUGCAGGAUG